RNAcentral lists this transfer RNA (92 nucleotides) under Nitrososphaerota archaeon. RNAcentral's name for it is "Thaumarchaeota archaeon tRNA-Lys". It matches the Rfam family "tRNA". Rfam says of the family: Transfer RNA (tRNA) molecules are approximately 80 nucleotides in length. Their secondary structure includes four short double-helical elements and three loops (D, anti-codon, and T loops). The record is from RNAcentral. Lineage: Archaea; Thermoproteati; Nitrososphaerota.
GGGUUCGUAGCUCAGCCAGGUAGAGCGUCUGGCUCUUAACCAGUCAUUAUUCAUGGGUUAAAAUGUCGUGGGUCCGAAUCCCACCGAACCCG